This 451-nucleotide ribosomal RNA is filed under the name uncultured bacterium. Its description in RNAcentral is "partial 16S ribosomal RNA". It matches the Rfam family "Bacterial small subunit ribosomal RNA", at positions 28 to 507 of the family's 1533-position model. The record is from RNAcentral.
AGCGAACGCUGGCGGCAUGCCUAACACAUGCGAGUCGCACGGGGGGGCUUCGGCCUCCCAGUGGCGGACGGGUGAGGAACGCGUAGGGACCUGUCGAGGGGUGGGGGAUAACCGCGGGAAACUGCGGCUAAUACCGCAUGACGCCGCGGCGUGACAGCCGGGGCCAAAGGCGAAAGCCGCCCGCCGAGGGGCCUGCGUCCGAUUAGCUGGUUGGCGGGGUAGCGGCCCACCAAGGCGUCGAUCGGUAGCUGGUCUGAGAGGGUGAUCAGCCACACCGGGACUGAGACACGGCCCGGACUCCUACGGGAGGCAGCAGUGGGGAAUAUUGGACAAUGGGCGCAAGCCUGAUCCAGCAAUGCCGCGUGGGUGAAGAAGGUCUUCGGAUUGUAAAGCCCUUUCGGCGGGGACGAUGGUGACGGUACCCGCAGAAGAAGCCCCGGCUAACUUCGUG